This 121-nucleotide ribosomal RNA is filed under the name Periconia digitata. The record is from RNAcentral. Lineage: Eukaryota; Fungi; Ascomycota; Dothideomycetes; Pleosporales; Periconiaceae.
ACAUACGACCAUAGGACCAUGAAAACAGUGCUUCCCGUUCGCUCAGCUGAACUUAAGCAUGGUACCGGCGGAUUAGUAGUCAGGUGGGUGACUACUGGCGAAUACCUGCUGUUGUAUGUAU